This 1841-nucleotide ribosomal RNA is filed under the name Tricotylenchus sp. l YC-2022. Its description in RNAcentral is "SSU rRNA". It matches the Rfam family "Eukaryotic small subunit ribosomal RNA". The record is from RNAcentral. Lineage: Eukaryota; Metazoa; Nematoda; Chromadorea; Rhabditida; Belonolaimidae.
CUCAAAGAUUAAGCCAUGCAUGUAUAAGUAUAAACGACUUGAUCGUGAAACCGCGAACGGCUCAUUAUAACAGCUAUAAUUUACUUGAUCUUGACAAACCUACUUGGAUAACUGUGGUAAUUCUAGAGCUAAUACAUGCACCAAAGCUCUGACCGUAAGGAAAGAGCGCAUUUAUUAGAACAAAACCAAGCGGCUUCGGCCGUUCAAUGUUGACUCAGAAUAACUAAGCUGAUCGCAUGGUCUUGUACCGGCGACGUGUCUUUCAAGUAUCUGCCUUAUCAACUUUCGAUGGUAGUGUAUCUGACUACCAUGGUUGUGACGGGUAACGGAGGAUAAGGGUUCGACUCCGGAGAAGGGGCCUGAGAAAUGGCCACUACGUCUAAGGAUGGCAGCAGGCGCGCAAAUUACCCACUCUCAGAACGAGGAGGUAGUGACGAGAAAUAACGAGACCGUUCUCUUUUGAGGCCGGUCAUCGGAAUGGGUACAAUUUAAACCCUUUAACGAGUAUCUAUGAGAGGGCAAGUCUGGUGCCAGCAGCCGCGGUAAUUCCAGCUCUCAAAAUGCAUAGAAUUAUUGCUGCGGUUAAAAAGCUCGUAGUUGGAUCUGUGCUGGUCUCCUGGUCCACCUUCGGGUGCGCACUGGUGAGGCUGGCUUUCCUGCUCGCUUCCGGGCUGGUGCCUUUCAUCGGGUGCCAGUCUCCGGGCGGGCAAGUUUACUUUGAACAAAUCAGAGUGCUUCAAACAGGCGUUUCGCUUGAAUGUUCGUGCAUGGAAUAAUAGAAGAGGAUUUCGGUUCUAUUUUAUUGGUUUUAUAGACUGAGAUAAUGGUUAACAGAGACAAACGGGGGCAUCCGUAUUGCUACGUGAGAGGUGAAAUUCUUGGACCGUAGCAAGACGAGCAACAGCGAAAGCAUUUGCCAAGAAUGUCUUCAUUAAUCAAGAACGAAAGUCAGAGGUUCGAAGGCGAUCAGAUACCGUCUUGGACCGUAGCAAGACGAGCAACAGCGAAAGCAUUUGCCAAGAAUGUCUUCAUUAAUCAAGAACGAAAGUCAGAGGUUCGAAGGCGAUCAGAUACCGCCCUAGUUCUGACCGUAAACGAUGCCAGCUAGCGAUCCGCCGGUGGAUUAUUUGCCCUGGUGGGGAGCUUCCCGGAAACGAAAGUCUUCCGGUUCCGGGGGAAGUAUGGUUGCAAAGCUGAAACUUAAAGGAAUUGACGGAAGGGCACCACCAGGAGUGGAGCCUGCGGCUUAAUUUGACUCAACACGGGGAAACUCACCCGGCCAGGACACAAUAAGGAUUGACAGAUUGACAGCUCUUUCUUGAUUUUGUGGGUGGUGGUGCAUGGCCGUUCUUAGUUGGUGGAGCGAUUUGUCUGGUUAAUUCCGAUAACGAACGAGACUCUAGCCUAUUAAAUAGACGAUAUAUCUUUUACGUAUAUCGAGCUUCUUAGAGGGACGAGCAGCUUCUAGCUGCACGAGAUUGAGCAAUAACAGGUCUGUGAUGCCCUUAGAUGUCCGGGGCUGCACGCGCGCUACAAUGAAAAUAGCAGCGCGUGUCGAAAGCCUUUUCUGGAAAGAAUUGGUAAACGCAAAAUAUUUUCGUGAUUGGGAUAGGGGAUUGCAAUUAUUGCCCUUGAACGAGGAAUUCCCAGUAAGUUCGAGUCAUCAGCUCGAGUUGAUUACGUCCCUGCCCUUUGUACACACCGCCCGUCGCUACUACCGAUUGGAAGAUUGAGUGAAAUCUUCGGACCGACGCCGAAACGGAUGUAAAAGUUCGUAUCGCGCAUUGGAAAGAUGAUUAAACCCUGUCUUCUAGAGGAAGUAAAAGUCGUAACAAGGUAGC